This 1243-nucleotide ribosomal RNA is filed under the name metagenome. RNAcentral describes it as "bacterial SSU rRNA". It matches the Rfam family "Bacterial small subunit ribosomal RNA", at positions 245 to 1498 of the family's 1533-position model. The record is from RNAcentral.
CUUGUUGGCGGGGUAACGGCCCACCAAGGCAACGAUCAGUAGGGGUUCUGAGAGGAAGGUCCCCCACAUUGGAACUGAGACACGGUCCAAACUCCUACGGGAGGCAGCAGUGAGGAAUAUUGGUCAAUGGGCGAGAGCCUGAACCAGCCAAGUAGCGUGCAGGAAGACGGCCCUAUGGGUUGUAAACUGCUUUUAUAAGGGAAUAAAGUGAGUCUCGUGAGACUUUUUGCAUGUACCUUAUGAAUAAGGACCGGCUAAUUCCGUGCCAGCAGCCGCGGUAAUACGGAAGGUCCGGGCGUUAUCCGGAUUUAUUGGGUUUAAAGGGAGCGUAGGCCGGAGAUUAAGCGUGUUGUGAAAUGUAGACGCUCAACGUCUGCACUGCAGCGCGAACUGGUUUCCUUGAGUACGCACAAAGUGGGCGGAAUUCGUGGUGUAGCGGUGGAAUGCUUAGAUAUCACGAAGAACUCCGAUUGCGAAGGCAGCUCACUGGAGCGCAACUGACGCUGAAGCUCGAAAGUGCGGGUAUCGAACAGGAUUAGAUACCCUGGUAGUCCGCACGGUAAACGAUGGAUGCCCGCUGUUGGUCUGAACAGGUCAGCGGCCAAGCGAAAGCAUUAAGCAUCCCACCUGGGGAGUACGCCGGCAACGGUGAAACUCAAAGGAAUUGACGGGGGCCCGCACAAGCGGAGGAACAUGUGGUUUAAUUCGAUGAUACGCGAGGAACCUUACCCGGGCUUGAAUUGCAGAGGAAGGAUUUGGAGACAAUGACGCCCUUCGGGGUCUCUGUGGAGGUGCUGCAUGGUUGUCGUCAGCUCGUGCCGUGAGGUGUCGGCUUAAGUGCCAUAACGAGCGCAACCCCUCUCCUUAGUUGCCAUCAGGUUAAGCUGGGCACUCUGGGGACACUGCCACCGUAAGGUGUGAGGAAGGUGGGGAUGACGUCAAAUCAGCACGGCCCUUACGUCCGGGGCUACACACGUGUUACAAUGGCAGGUACAGAGAGACGGUUGUACGUAAGUACGAUCAAAUCCUUAAAGCCUGUCUCAGUUCGGACUGGGGUCUGCAACCCGACCCCACGAAGCUGGAUUCGCUAGUAAUCGCGCAUCAGCCAUGGCGCGGUGAAUACGUUCCCGGGCCUUGUACACACCGCCCGUCAAGCCAUGAAAGCCGGGGGCGCCUAAAGUCCGUGACCGUAAGGAGCGGCCUAGGGCGAAACUGGUAAUUGGGGCUAAGUCGUAACAAGGUA